CCUACGGGAGGCAGCAGUGAGGAAUAUUGGUCAAUGGGCGGAAGCCUGAACCAGCCAAGUAGCGUGCGGGAUGAAGGCCCUACGGGUCGUAAACCGCUUUUACACGGGGAUAACACCCGCCACGUGUGGAGUUCUGCAGGUACCGUGCGAAUAAGGGCCGGCUAAUUCCGUGCCAGCAGCCGCGGUAAUACGGAGGGUCCGAGCGUUAUCCGGAUUCAUUGGGCUAAAAGGGAGCGUAGGCGGGCGUUCAAGUCAGCUGUAAAAUCGCGCGGCUCAACCGCGGACCGCAGUUGAAACUGGACGGCUUGAGUUCGCCACAGGCAGGCGGAAUUCGUGGUGUAGCGGUGAAAUGCAUAGAUAUCACGAGGAACCCCGAUUGCGAAGGCAGCCUGCCGGGGUGCGACUGACGCUGAGGCUCGAAGGUGCGGGUAUCAAACAGGAUUAGAUACCCCUGUAGUC
Molecule: ribosomal RNA, 459 nt
Filed under: uncultured bacterium
Lineage: Bacteria
Description: partial 16S ribosomal RNA
Rfam family: Bacterial small subunit ribosomal RNA
Source: RNAcentral